AAUGGAAUAACUGGGUCAAAUGGUUCCAUUCCCAGUUUUCUGAGGAAUCUCCAUACUGCUUUCCAGAGUGAUUACACCAAUUUGCAGUCCCACCAGCAAA
This 100-nucleotide microRNA precursor is filed under the name Marmota monax (woodchuck). Lineage: Eukaryota; Metazoa; Chordata; Mammalia; Rodentia; Sciuridae. The record is from RNAcentral.